AUCCCUUGAAUAUUUAAAAGACAUGUAGAUAUGGAACCUGGGAACACAGUUCAGUGGUGGACUUCGCAGUCCUGGAUCAAGUAGAACUUGAUGAUCUUAAAGGUCUUUUCAAACCUAAACAAUUCUCUGUUUCUGAGCUGUGUAAGCUACACUGCAGAUCAGUUAAAACAUCCACCUCUUUAAUCCAGGAAGCUGGCAUUGGUGAUCUGUGAGGAUAGAAAGCAAGAUGAUAUUGAUGAGGGAGCUGUUCUCAGUUGAUGACUGCUGAAAGCAUCACAUAGUGAACUGCUACAUGAAGAAAAGAAACCUAGCAUAAAAAAAAAUCUUUACUCCUGCAAGAAGAAAAUCCUGUACUUUCCAAGCAUGUCCUCCUGUGAUGCCACCCAUGAAGGCCCAUAUUAUUAUGGGCCUUCUGUAUUUGAUUUGUCUACAUAGCAUUAAAAGA
This is a long non-coding RNA of Vidua chalybeata, 445 nucleotides long. RefSeq lists it as uncharacterized. The transcript has 3 exons. The record is from RefSeq and is a predicted model, not a curated record. NCBI's taxonomy places the organism in Eukaryota, Metazoa, Chordata, Aves, Passeriformes, Viduidae.